This 57-nucleotide transfer RNA is filed under the name Schistidium subflaccidum. RNAcentral describes it as "partial tRNA-Asp". It matches the Rfam family "tRNA", at positions 1 to 54 of the family's 71-position model. From Rfam's summary of the family: Transfer RNA (tRNA) molecules are approximately 80 nucleotides in length. Their secondary structure includes four short double-helical elements and three loops (D, anti-codon, and T loops). The record is from RNAcentral. Lineage: Eukaryota; Viridiplantae; Streptophyta; Bryopsida; Grimmiales; Grimmiaceae.
GGGAUKGUAGUUCAAUUGGUUAGAGCACCGCCCUGUCAAGGCGGAAGUUGCGGGUUC